UAAAAUGUGCCAAAGACAGAAAAAAAGAUGACUGACGGAGGAAUAACCCCCCAAAAAGGUUCAGACGUUGUAACUUUCGAUGGAAAUCAACGCAUUUUACACUGAAUACAAAUUUAGUAAGGCUUCAGCAUUUGUGUGCGUCCCAGGAUGGGGUGGCACCUUUGGAAUUUCUAUGCCUUGCGUCCAAAAAGUGCCAGGAUAGGAUGUUGGUCCCCACGGCCUUGCAACGGAUUAAGGCGAUAAUAGGAUGAUGAAUGGAAGUUCAGCAUCACUGGCCUUGCCUGGGUGCAAUACCUUUAUUGCUGUGUUAUGGGUAACUAAGAAGGUGAACACAUCGUUAGAAACAGAGGAAGACAUCGUCUGACAUUACCAGAGUGCAGAACAGCAGCUGCUUUAAUUGAAGUACGUUUGCCAUCAUUUUGAUUGCUAUACAUCCAUCACCUGCAGCAUCUUUUUGGAAAGCAGCACGCCAUUCUUUGGAACUCACUGCCAGUUUAUAGCAUCUAAGAUACUGUUUUCAUAUCGGAGUUACCAGCAGCGUGCCCCUGUGAUACUUAAUUGAAGGCAUCCAGCUCAAACUUAUAACAACUAUCCGGCUCCCACGUAAACAUACCAAAGUGGUGUGCGUGGCGUUUGUACGGAAGAUGGAGCGCACCGGGUUAGCACACUAUUUGUGUGAUCUCAUGGCCAAAAUGCUCUGCUUAUUUGACAUGUCUGAAGGCACACCAUGUCCUUUAUUUCCAUUGGCUUUUGUCAUCUGCAGUAACGCAAAAAGCAGCAUAAGACAAUACUAAUUUUAUUAUUUAAUCUUCCACAGUGCUACAGCAAAAAGGGUUAGCACACUGUCUGUGUGAUAUCAUUGCCAGAAUGCUCUGCUUAUUUGACAUGUCUGAAGGCACACCAUGUCUUUUAUUUCCAUUGGCUUUUGCCAUCUGCAGUAACACCAAGAGCAGCAUAAGACAAUACUAAUUUUAUUAUUUUAUCUUCCACAGUACUCCAGCAAAAAGGUAAAUGUCACACUUUUCUUCCUUUCCUAUUUUUCACCAUAAUGUUGGUGGAACUUAUCACAUGGUUAGACCACAGCCUUAUUCAUUUUAUAGUCAGCCAACCUUGGUUGAAAUCCUGAUAACUGACCUGUUGGUGGAAGUUGUCACAUGGUUAGA
Protopterus annectens (West African lungfish) is the source of this 1163-nucleotide long non-coding RNA. RefSeq lists it as uncharacterized. The transcript has 3 exons. The record is from RefSeq and is a predicted model, not a curated record. Lineage: Eukaryota; Metazoa; Chordata; Ceratodontiformes; Protopteridae.